AAUGAACGCUGGCGGCAGGCCUAACACAUGCAAGUCGAACGGGCACUUCGGUGCUAGUGGCGGACGGGUGAGUAACGCGUGGGAACGUGCCCCUUGGUACGGAAUAGCCCCGGGAAACUGGGGGUAAUACCGUAUGUGGUCGAGAGACGAAAGAUUUAUCGCCAAGGGAUCGGCCCGCGUUGGAUUAGGUAGUUGGUGGGGUAAUGGCCUACCAAGCCGACGAUCCAUAGCUGGUUUGAGAGGAUGAUCAGCCACACUGGGACUGAGACACGGCCCAGACUCCUACGGGAGGCAGCAGUGGGGAAUCUUAGACAAUGGGGGAAACCCUGAUCUAGCCAUGCCGCGUGAUCGAUGAAGGCCUUAGGGUUGUAAAGAUCCUUCAGGUGGGAAGAUAAUGACUGUACCACCAGAAGAAGCCCCGGCUAACUCCGUGCCAGCAGCCGCCGUAA
RNAcentral lists this ribosomal RNA (449 nucleotides) under uncultured bacterium. RNAcentral describes it as "partial 16S ribosomal RNA". It matches the Rfam family "Bacterial small subunit ribosomal RNA", at positions 29 to 523 of the family's 1533-position model. The record is from RNAcentral.